Molecule: non-coding RNA, 62 nt
Filed under: Methylocystis bryophila
Lineage: Bacteria; Pseudomonadati; Pseudomonadota; Alphaproteobacteria; Hyphomicrobiales; Methylocystaceae
Description: Fluoride sequence
Rfam family: Fluoride riboswitch aptamer (crcB RNA motif)
Source: Rfam by way of RNAcentral
UGCCAUCCAGGGGAUGGGGUGCCCCCGUAACCGCCGCAAAGGCUGAUGACUCCUACUUGAGA